Molecule: ribosomal RNA, 475 nt
Filed under: uncultured organism
Description: partial 16S ribosomal RNA
Rfam family: Bacterial small subunit ribosomal RNA
Source: RNAcentral
GUACACUCCUGCGGGAGGCAGCAGUGGGGAAUUUUGGACAAUGGGCGAAAGCCUGAUCCAGCCAUGCCGCGUGCAGGAUGAAGGCCUUCGGGUUGUAAACUGCUUUUGUACGGAACGAAACGGCCUUUUCUAAUAAAGAGGGCUAAUGACGGUACCGUAAGAAUAAGCACCGGCUAACUACGUGCCAGCAGCCGCGGUAAUACGUAGGGUGCAAGCGUUAAUCGGAAUUACUGGGCGUAAAGCGUGCGCAGGCGGUUAUGUAAGACAGUUGUGAAAUCCCCGGGCUCAACCUGGGAACUGCAUCUGUGACUGCAUAGCUAGAGUACGGUAGAGGGGGAUGGAAUUCCGCGUGUAGCAGUGAAAUGCGUAGAUAUGCGGAGGAACACCGAUGGCGAAGGCAAUCCCCUGGACCUGUACUGACGCUCAUGCACGAAAGCGUGGGGAGCAAACAGGAUUAGAAACCCUGGUAGUCCCA